RNAcentral lists this ribosomal RNA (1363 nucleotides) under metagenome. RNAcentral describes it as "bacterial SSU rRNA". It matches the Rfam family "Bacterial small subunit ribosomal RNA", at positions 8 to 1326 of the family's 1533-position model. The record is from RNAcentral.
AGAGUUUGAUUCUGGCUCAGAACGAACGCUGGCAGCGUGGAUUAGGCAUGCAAGUCGAACGUGAAGCCGAUGAUCAAUCUUUCGGGAAAGUGAUUCGGUGGAAAGUGGCGGAAGGGUGAGUAACGCGUGGGUAAGCUACCUCGAAGUUGGGGACAACCAGAUGAAAAUCUAGCUAAUACCGAAUGUGGUCCUCUGGCACAUGCCAGGGUGACUAAAGGUGGGGAUCCUUUAUUGGACCUGCCGCUUUGAGAUGCGCCCGCGUGCCAUCAGCUUGUUGGUAGGGUAACGGCCUACCAAGGCUUACGGCUAGCCGGCCUGAGAGGGUGACCGGCCACACUGGGACUGAGACACUGCCCAGACUCCUACGGGAGGCUGCAGUCGAGGAUCAUUCGCAAUGCGCGAAAGCGUGACGAUGCGACGCUGCGUGGGGGAUGAAGGCCUUCGGGUCGUAAACUCCUGUCAUGAGGGAAAAGUAUCCCCGCAAUGAAUAGUUGUGGGGCUCGAUGGUACCUCAAGAGGAAGCCACGGCUAACUCUGUGCCAGCAGCCGCGGUAAUACAGAGGUGGCGAGCGUUGUUCGGAUUUACUGGGCGUAAAGGGUGCGUAGGUGGUUUUGUGUGUCGGAUGUGAAAGCCCAUGGCUCAACCGUGGAAUUGCAUUCGAAACUGCAGAACUAGAGUGCAGGAUGGGAGAGCGGAAUUCUUGGUUAGCGGUGAAAUGCGUUGAUAUCAAGAAGAACACCGGUGGCGAAGGCGGCUCUCUGGAAUGCUACUGACACUGAGGCACGAAAGCUGGGGGAGCAAACAGGAUUAGAUACCCUGGUAGUCCCAGCCGUAAACGGUGCACACUUGGUGUGGGGAGAUUUAACCCUCUCCGUGCCGGAGCUAACGCGUUAAGUGUGCCGCCUGGGGAGUACGGCCGCAAGGCUAAAACUCAAAGAAAUUGACGGGGGCCCGCACAAGCGGAGGAGCAUGUGGCUUAAUUCGAUGCAACGCGAAGAACCUUACCAGGGCUUGACAUAUACCUGCAAACCCCGUGAAAGCGGGGAAUCCUUCGAGGGUGGUAUACAGGUGCUGCAUGGCUGUCGUCAGUUCGUGCCGUGAGGUGUUGGGUUAAGUCCCGUAACGAACGCAACCCUUGUGACUAGUUGCCACCGGCGGUGAUGAGCCGCCGAGCACUCUAGUCAGACUGCCCGUACAAGCGGGAGGAAGGUGGGGAUGACGUCAAGUCAGUAUGGCCCUUACGCCCUGGGCUGCACACGUGCUACAAUGGUCGGUACAAUGGGAUGCAAUAUCGUGAGGUGGAGCAAAUCCAGAAAGCCGGCCUCAGUUCGGAUUGAAGUCUGCAACUCGACUUCAUGAAGU